Molecule: long non-coding RNA, 642 nt
Filed under: Junco hyemalis (dark-eyed junco)
Lineage: Eukaryota; Metazoa; Chordata; Aves; Passeriformes; Passerellidae
Description: lncRNA (ENSJHYG00000009998.1)
Source: RNAcentral
AUGGGAAUCCCUGGGCGGCCGGGACUAAAGGGGCAAUCUGGAGAGAAGGGUGCUCCAGGAGAAGCUGGCAUGUCCAUCAUCGGGCCCCGUGGCCCACCCGGACAGCCUGGAACAAGAGGUUUUCCUGGAUUCCCGGGCCCUAUUGGCUUGGAUGGCAAACCGGUAAGCAGAGAACUCCUCUGCAGGCUUCUGCCCUGCCCCAGUCCCACUGGGCUGGAACCUGGGUGUUACACCCUGUGUUUGAAGGGGAUUGUUUUGCAAUGCCAUGCACAUGCAUGGAUUAAAACAAAACGAGGAGGUUGGCAGGCAGCAGGAUGCCACAGAUGCCUUGGGGGAGAUGCAGGAGUCAGGAGAUGCUGGAAGGCAGAGUAUGGCCUGUUCCUUUCUAGGUAAAUCUAUAAACUAGCAGUUCAUGAGUGCAGCAGUCUGGCUGCUGUGGGGAAAGCCUCAGCAGGCACUCCCACCAGAAUCAGACAGGCAGAGCAGAUCCCUGAGGUGUCAGCCCUCUGCCUUAGCCAACAGCUGCUGUACCAAAAAGCUGCAGUGGAGGAGAGAAGGAUCCUAAAGACUCUGUGAGACCUCCGUGCUGUCCUUAGAGAUUUGCAGUAGAAACCCAAGUUCUUCCCAUCCUUCAGAGCUGGG